This 195-nucleotide ribosomal RNA is filed under the name uncultured Desulfobulbus sp. RNAcentral describes it as "partial 16S ribosomal RNA". It matches the Rfam family "Bacterial small subunit ribosomal RNA", at positions 338 to 524 of the family's 1533-position model. Lineage: Bacteria; Pseudomonadati; Thermodesulfobacteriota; Desulfobulbia; Desulfobulbales; Desulfobulbaceae. The record is from RNAcentral.
CCUACGGGAGGCAGCAGUGAGGAAUAUUGCGCAAUGGGGGCAACCCUGACGCAGCCACGCCGCGUGAGUGAGGAAGGCCUUCGGGUCGUAAAGCUCUGUCAAGAGGGAAGAAGUGCAUGGUGGUUAAUAUCUGUCAUGUUUGACGGUACCUGUAAAGGAAGCACCGGCUAACUCCGUGCCAGCAGCCGCGGUAAU